GGUUAAGCGACUAAGCGUACACGGUGGAUGCCCUGGCAGUCAGAGGCGAUGAAGGACGUGCUAAUCUGCGAAAAGCGUCGGUAAGGUGAUAUGAACCGUUAUAACCGGCGAUGUCCGAAUGGGGAAACCCAGUGUGAUUCGUCACACUAUCGUUAACUGAAUACAUAGGUUAACGAGGCGAACCGGGGGAACUGAAACAUCUAAGUACCCCGAGGAAAAGAAAUCAACCGAGAUUCCCCCAGUAGCGGCGAGCGAACGGGGAGCAGCCCAGAGUCUGAAUCAGCUUGUGUGUUAGUGGAACGGUCUGGAAAGUCCGACGGUACAGGGUGAUAGUCCCGUACACCAAAAUGCACAGGUUGUGAACUCGAAGAGUAGGGCGGGACACGUGGUAUCCUGUCUGAAUAUGGGGGGACCAUCCUCCAAGGCUAAAUACUCCUGACUGACCGAUAGUGAACCAGUACCGUGAGGGAAAGGCGAAAAGAACCCCGGCGAGGGGAGUGAAAAAGAACCUGAAACCGUGUACGUACAAGCAGUGGGAGCACCUUCGGGUGUGACUGCGUACCUUUUGUAUAAUGGGUCAGCGACUUAUAUUCUGUAGCAAGGUUAACCGUAUAGGGGAGCCGCAGGGAAACCGAGUCUUAACUGGGCGUUAAGUUGCAGGGUAUAGACCCGAAACCCGGUGAUCUAGCCAUGGGCAGGUUGAAGGUUGGGUAACACUAACUGGAGGACCGAACCGACUAAUGUUGAAAAAUUAGCGGAUGACUUGUGGCUGGGGGUGAAAGGCCAAUCAAACCGGGAGAUAGCUGGUUCUCCCCGAAAGCUAUUUAGGUAGCGCCUCGUGAACUCAUCUUCGGGGGUAGAGCACUGUUUCGGCUAGGGGGUCAUCCCGACUUACCAACCCGAUGCAAACUACGAAUACCGAAGAAUGUUAUCACGGGAGACACACGGCGGGUGCUAACGUCCGUCGUGAAGAGGGAAACAACCCAGACCGCCAGCUAAGGUCCCAAAGUCAUGGUUAAGUGGGAAACGAUGUGGGAAGGCACAGACAGCCAGGAUGUUGGCUUAGAAGCAGCCAUCAUUUAAAGAAAGCGUAAUAGCUCACUGGUCGAGUCGGCCUGCGCGGAAGAUGUAACGGGGCUAAACCAUGCACCGAAGCUGCGGCAGCGACACUAUGUGUUGUUGGGUAGGGGAGCGUUCUGUAAGCCUGCGAAGGUGUGCUGUGAGGCAUGCUGGAGGUAUCAGAAGUGCGAAUGCUGACAUAAGUAACGAUAAAGCGGGUGAAAAGCCCGCUCGCCGGAAGACCAAGGGUUCCUGUCCAACGUUAAUCGGGGCAGGGUGAGUCGACCCCUAAGGCGAGGCCGAAAGGCGUAGUCGAUGGGAAACAGGUUAAUAUUCCUGUACUUGGUGUUACUGCGAAGGGGGGACGGAGAAGGCUAUGUUAGCCGGGCGACGGUUGUCCCGGUUUAAGCAUGUAGGCUGGUUGUCCAGGCAAAUCCGGAUAAUCAAGGCUGAGGUGUGAUGACGAGGCACUACGGUGCUGAAGUAACAAAUGCCCUGCUUCCAGGAAAAGCCUCUAAGCAUCAGGUAACAUCAAAUCGUACCCCAAACCGACACAGGUGGUCAGGUAGAGAAUACCAAGGCGCUUGAGAGAACUCGGGUGAAGGAACUAGGCAAAAUGGUGCCGUAACUUCGGGAGAAGGCACGCUGGUGUGUAGGUGAAGUCCCUGCGGAUGGAGCUGAGACCAGUCGAAGAUACCAGCUGGCUGCAACUGUUUAUUAAAAACACAGCACUGUGCAAACACGAAAGUGGACGUAUACGGUGUGACGCCUGCCCGGUGCCGGAAGGUUAAUUGAUGGGGUUAUCCGUAAGGAGAAGCUCUUGAUCGAAGCCCCGGUAAACGGCGGCCGUAACUAUAACGGUCCUAAGGUAGCGAAAUUCCUUGUCGGGUAAGUUCCGACCUGCACGAAUGGCGUAAUGAUGGCCAGGCUGUCUCCACCCGAGACUCAGUGAAAUUGAACUCGCUGUGAAGAUGCAGUGUACCCGCGGCAAGACGGAAAGACCCCGUGAACCUUUACUAUAGCUUGACACUGAACAUUGAGCCUUGAUGUGUAGGAUAGGUGGGAGGCUUUGAAGCGUGGACGCCAGUCUGCGUGGAGCCAACCUUGAAAUACCACCCUUUAAUGUUUGAUGUUCUAACGUUGGCCCCUGACCGGGGUUGCGGACAGUGUCUGGUGGGUAGUUUGACUGGGGCGGUCUCCUCCCAAAGCGUAACGGAGGAGCACGAAGGUUAGCUAAUCCUGGUCGGACAUCAGGAGGUUAGUGCAAUGGCAUAAGCUAGCUUGACUGCGAGCGUGACGGCGCGAGCAGGUGCGAAAGCAGGUCAUAGUGAUCCGGUGGUUCUGAAUGGAAGGGCCAUCGCUCAACGGAUAAAAGGUACUCCGGGGAUAACAGGCUGAUACCGCCCAAGAGUUCAUAUCGACGGCGGUGUUUGGCACCUCGAUGUCGGCUCAUCACAUCCUGGGGCUGAAGUAGGUCCCAAGGGUAUGGCUGUUCGCCAUUUAAAGUGGUACGCGAGCUGGGUUUAGAACGUCGUGAGACAGUUCGGUCCCUAUCUGCCGUGGGCGCUGGAGAAUUGAGGGGGGCUGCUCCUAGUACGAGAGGACCGGAGUGGACGCAUCACUGGUGUUCGGGUUGUCAUGCCAAUGGCACUGCCCGGUAGCUAAAUGCGGAAGAGAUAAGUGCUGAAAGCAUCUAAGCACGAAACUUGCCCCGAGAUGAGUUCUCCCUGAGACUUUAAGUCUCCUGAAGGAACGUUAAAGACGAUGACGUUGAUAGGCCGGGUGUGUAAGCGCAGCGAUGCGUUGAGCUAACCGGUACUAAUGAACCGUGAGGCUUAACCUU
This 2902-nucleotide ribosomal RNA is filed under the name Klebsiella pneumoniae. RNAcentral describes it as "23S ribosomal RNA". It matches the Rfam family "Bacterial large subunit ribosomal RNA". The record is from RNAcentral. Lineage: Bacteria; Pseudomonadati; Pseudomonadota; Gammaproteobacteria; Enterobacterales; Enterobacteriaceae.